AGACUGUCAGGAAAAGCUGUUUUUAAAAAAAUAUUAAAAACCACAUGAGAAUAAAAAAUCAGUUUGGCAGGAAACCUGAAGAAUAUUUGAUAAAAGUGGUUUCUGUUAGUCUUGGCCCAAAGAAAACGUCUUAGCUCUUUGCUAGAACCGGGCAGCGUGGUGGAAAAAAAAAGAUGCAGUGUCUCCUUCUCUUGCCUAAUCUUUUGGCAGACAAAUGGAUCAUUCUGACAUCGUGUUAGAAGUGUCAGCCUUGUAUUGGACACCCCAAAGAUACUGUACUUUAUGGUGGCAUUACUUCUGGGCAUUGUUGCUGCUUAAGGAAGAGCUGCCAGUCUGCUUUGUAACAGAAGCCUCUUUUAAAACACCUUUAAAAGGAAGUACUUCCAUAGAAGGAAGGAGAAAGAAGGAGAAACAGAAUGGCACUUAGAUCUGUUCUGAAGAAGGAAAAGAAGAGCAUAACUCCAGUCAAAACUUGUUUAAAGAAAUUGUUGGGGCAGAGUUCAGCCGCCUCUACAGCAGUUCCACUUCCCGGAGGGGGCAAAAAGGAAAGCCGGAGGCAGAGCUGUGCAGUGUGGUUGACAAGGGCCUGGUUGUCAUUAUUCUCUCACGCCAGUAUGAAAGAGGGGAGGAAUGCUGUUUCCUGACUGAUUCCUGGUGCCCCCUGCCCGGGCUGAUAAGUAAAUUGCAUCAGAGCUAAUGACGAGUUAAAAGAAAUGUACACUGAUUCCAGAUGCGGAAGUGGUGGCAGGCUCAAAGAGGAAGGUUAGAUUUUUUUUCUUUCUUUUCUCUUUUAAAGGCCUUUGCCUUUUGCAUUCCAAGGGAAUAAAAACAAAGCAAAGUCUGGGC
RNAcentral lists this long non-coding RNA (846 nucleotides) under Apteryx rowi (Okarito brown kiwi). Its description in RNAcentral is "lncRNA (ENSARWG00000008422.1)". Lineage: Eukaryota; Metazoa; Chordata; Aves; Apterygiformes; Apterygidae. The record is from RNAcentral.